UGUGAAGAGAAACCAUAUGAAUAUGAAAGAAAAGGUGAGGAAAUUUGAAACCUGCUGCUUCAGAGAAAAUUGUUGAUGAAAAUUUAAGAUACAGUCAAAUUAUAAUGCGAAGGCUACUACGUAGGGGACCUGUAUCUCCUACUGCUCCUGCUGCUUGUUCAACUCUUCCUAAAGGUGCCAAUAUUAGAAUUCCUAUUCACUUGGCUUUCUCAUCAGAUGAUUUCGAUCACCAUAGACUUAAGCAGAUAAGCUAGUCCUAUGAUUGUCAAUUUUAUCUUUACUUCCUUUCAGUGAAGCAAACUUUUCAGCCUCAGCUUCGAUAGAAAAUGAAUGAGAUUGAACCCACAACAAUUAAGAUCAAGACCAGCAACUUCUUGAUCAAUAAUCUGCACAAUCAUAGUUAGUUUUCAAUAGUUAAUUGAUCUUUAUGAGCG
This 434-nucleotide unclassified non-coding RNA is filed under the name Hevea brasiliensis (rubber tree). Lineage: Eukaryota; Viridiplantae; Streptophyta; Magnoliopsida; Malpighiales; Euphorbiaceae. The record is from RNAcentral.